Long non-coding RNA from Lactuca sativa (garden lettuce), 1166 nucleotides. RefSeq lists it as uncharacterized. The record is from RefSeq and is a predicted model, not a curated record. NCBI's taxonomy places the organism in Eukaryota, Viridiplantae, Streptophyta, Magnoliopsida, Asterales, Asteraceae.
GGAUUAUUCAUUUAAUUAAAUAUACUCAUCUUAAAUGAAUGCAUAUUAGUCUAGGGGCAGAUUUGCAAUUUCCUGAAACUAAUUUAGUGAUAAUAUAUGAAAUUAGGGUGGAGUUAGUUAGUGUGCCAAAUAACAGGGACAAUUUGUGCCAAAAUUAGAAAGACCGAGUCUUCAUCCCCAUCACCAGGUGCAGGUCUCGUUUGUUCUCUUCUUCCCCAUUAGAACCGAUCCAAAAACGAAUCUUGGAAACGAAGUGGUCCAAAUUCGUCAAAGGUGAGCCUUUGACUAAAUUGAUGAGUCUCUUUCAAAUCCUUUUGACUGGAAAUCCCGGAUUUAAGGCUAUUAAGAUGAAAUUGUCGGCAUUGGAACUUCACCACCAAGAACCACCACACUAUGCUCACUGUUCAGUCGAGUCCCACCCCUUUCUCCUUGCUAGAAACCGCCAUCCCCACCCCACUGCCGCUGUAGGAGCUCCUCCCUCCACCACCACAACCCAGCCACCCAUCUAGUGUUCAAUCAAACCCACCCUCCAAUCACCCCUACUGUGUUCGUUUUGGUUUCAUUGUCAAAGAAAAAAAAAACAAGAUACCAUCACCACUAAGAGUAGCCGAGAACCAUCUUCAUCUCAAUCAAGAACCAGCAUCGGUGGUCUUGAACCACCGUGUAGCACCACCAGACGCCAUCCAACCUCAUCCUACCUCCUACUGCCAUUGCCAUUUACUUCCGAAGUCACCACCACCGACGACUCCGCCACUGUUUCUGCAUUCGACCGCCAUCGCCGCCUCCAUAAUUUAAUUUCCAUCGUUGAUGAUGCCAGCCAAGACCAAGAGACCUAACGAGAAACCUGAUUUCCUUCUUAACGGCACCUGCAACUCGUCAAUUGCAAGAGACGGGUAAUUUAAAUACAACCGGUGAUUCGUUUUAAGAGCAAGGAGCGUCACGAAAUGACUUUCACGACAAGUUUCAGCCUCGAGAUUCGUCCACGCUUCAAGGGGUAUCACCAAACGAGCUUUUAGAAGAGCAGUCAUGGAUUUCAGACGACCUUGAUUUAUCUAGCUUUUGUUAAAUUGGCCUAUCUAUUAAGGCAACUUUAUGAAUUUCUUAUUAUGAAAUUUGUAUUCAAACCUUAAAGAGUAAUGUAAUUGCUAUGUAUUUAUUGUUGUAAA